Molecule: ribosomal RNA, 483 nt
Filed under: uncultured bacterium
Lineage: Bacteria
Description: partial 16S ribosomal RNA
Rfam family: Bacterial small subunit ribosomal RNA
Source: RNAcentral
AUUGAACGCUGGCGGCAGGCCUAACACAUGCAAGUCGAGCGGAUGAAGGGAGCUUGCUCCUGGAUUCAGCGGCGGACGGGUGAGUAAUGCCUAGGAAUCUGCCUGGUAGUGGGGGAUAACGUCCGGAAACGGGCGCUAAUACCGCAUACGUCCUGAGGAGAAAGUGGAGGAUCUUCGGACCUCACGCUAUCAGAUGAGCCUAGGUCGGAUUAGCUAGUUGGUGGGGUAAAGGCCUACCAAGGCGACGAUCCGUAACUGGUCUGAGAGGAUGAUCAGUCACACUGGAACUGAGACACGGUCCAGACUCCUACGGGAGGCAGCAGUGGGGAAUAUUGGACAAUGGGCGAAAGCCUGAUCCAGCCAUGCCGCGUGUGUGAAGAAGGUCUUCGGAUUGUAAAGCACUUUAAGUUGGGAGGAAGGGCAGUAAGUUAAUACCUUGCUGUUUUGACGUUACCAACAGAAUAAGCACCGGCUAACUUCGUG